GAUGAACGCUGGCGGCGUGCUUAACACAUGCAAGUCGAACGGAAAGGCCCUGCUUUUGUGGGGUGCUCGAGUGGCGAACGGGUGAGUAACACGUGAGUAACCUGCCCUUGACUUUGGGAUAACUUCAGGAAACUGGGGAUAAUACCGGAUAGGAGCUCCUGCUGCAUGGUGGGGGUUGGAAAGUUUCGGCGGUUUGGGAUGGACUCGCGGCUUAUCAGCUUGUUGGUGGGGUAGUGGCUUACCAAGGCUGUGACGGGUAGCCGGCCUGAGAGGGUGACCGGCCACAAUAGGACUGAGAGACGGCCCAGACGCCUACGGGAGGCAGCAGUCGAGAAUAUUGCACAAUAGGCGGGAGCCUGAGGCGGCAACGCCGCGUGCGGGAUGACGGCCUUCGGGCUGUAAACCGCUUUCGCCUGUGACGAAGCGUGAGUGACGGUAAUGGGUAAAGAAGCACCGGCUAACUACGUG
This 468-nucleotide ribosomal RNA is filed under the name uncultured bacterium. RNAcentral's name for it is "partial 16S ribosomal RNA". It matches the Rfam family "Bacterial small subunit ribosomal RNA", at positions 28 to 507 of the family's 1533-position model. The record is from RNAcentral.